RNAcentral lists this RNase P RNA (347 nucleotides) under Leeuwenhoekiella sp. RNAcentral describes it as "RNase P RNA component class A". It matches the Rfam family "Bacterial RNase P class A". From Rfam's summary of the family: Ribonuclease P (RNase P) is a ubiquitous endoribonuclease, found in archaea, bacteria and eukarya as well as chloroplasts and mitochondria. Its best characterised activity is the generation of mature 5'-ends of tRNAs by cleaving the 5'-leader elements of precursor-tRNAs. Cellular RNase Ps are ribonucleoproteins. The record is from RNAcentral. Lineage: Bacteria; Pseudomonadati; Bacteroidota; Flavobacteriia; Flavobacteriales; Flavobacteriaceae.
CAAGCAGGCCGCCUUAUCGCUCUAUUUACUUCUUCUAAAGAAUAAAAUGGAGAGGAAAGUCCGGACACCAUAGGGAAGCAUAGCGGCUAACGGCCGUCAUUCUUAAUCUAGAUAACCAUCGAGAUUGGGAUUAGGACCAGUGCAACAGAAAGAAUGUACAGAUCAUGCUGUAGUGAAACCAGGUAAACUCUAUGCGGUGCAAUGCCAUGUAUACCGGUUUUUAAGCGUUCCCGCGCGAUGCCGGAGGGUAGGCAGAUAGAAUGUAUGGGCAACCAUGCAUCCAGAUAAAUGAUAGGGUCUCAAUUUUUAUUGAGAAACAGAAUCCGGCUUAUAGGCCUGCUUUUUUC